GGGGGUGUAGCUCAUAUGGUAGAGCGCUCGCUUCGCAUGCGAGAGGCAGGGGGUUCGACUCCCCGCACCUCCA
Molecule: transfer RNA, 73 nt
Filed under: Hordeum vulgare subsp. vulgare (domesticated barley)
Lineage: Eukaryota; Viridiplantae; Streptophyta; Magnoliopsida; Poales; Poaceae
Rfam family: tRNA
About the family: Transfer RNA (tRNA) molecules are approximately 80 nucleotides in length.
Source: Rfam by way of RNAcentral